AUGGUCUCCGACGACAUCAAGAUCAAGCCAUUGCAACGGCAGAAGGUAUGCGUGAUCGGAGCCGGGAUGGCCGGGCUGGCGUCGGCCCGCGAGCUGCGGCGGGAGGGCCACGACGUGACGGUUCUGGAGCAGAGCGGCGACGUGGGCGGGCAGUGGCGGUACGACCCGAGGACCGACGGCGACGACCCGCUCGGCGGCGCGGCGGCGCCGGUGAAGGUGCACAGCAGCAUGUACGCGUCCCUCCGCCUCAUCAGCGCGCGGGAGAACAUGGGGUUCACCGACUUCCAGUUCGCGCCCAAGGACGGCCGCGACGGCCGCCGCUUCCCGGGCCACCGCGAAGUGUACCUCUACCUCAAGGACUUCUGCGCCGCGUUCGGGCUCAUGGCGUCCGUCAGGCUCAACACCAGCGUCGUGCGUGUCGCUCUGGCGCCGGGCCCGACGCGGCGAUGGACGGUGAGGUCCGUCGAUCUCGGCAAGUGCCAUGGUGCCGAUGAGGAGGAGGAGGAGGUGUUCGACGCCGUGGUGGUGGCCAACGGCCACUACUCGCAGCCGAGGUUGCCAAGCAUCGAAGGCAUGGAGGCGUGGAGGGGGAGGCAGGUGCGCAGCCACUCGUACAGGGUGGCGGAGCCGUUCCGCGGCGAGGUGGUGGUGGUGGUCGGGUGCGGCGAGAGCGGCAAGGACAUCGCCAUGGAGGUCCGCAGGGUGGCUAAGGAGGUGCACCUCGUCGCCAAGUCCAUGGAGGAGGUGACCCAAGGGCUCGCCAAGGUGCUCUCCAAGUACAGCGCCAGCGUGCAUCUACAACUGCACGUGGAGCGGCUGUGCGAGGAUGGCCGGGUGGUGUUCGGCGACGGCUCCAGUGUCUUUGCCGACACCAUCAUCUACUGCACGGGGUACAACUACACUUUCCCGUUCCUGGAUACAGAGGGAGCGGUUACUGUCGACGACAACCGCGUCGGCCCGCUGUUCGAGCACGUGUUCCCGCCGUCACUGGCCCCGUCGCUCUCCUUCAUCGGUAUACCCAUAAAGGUGUUUGCGCCUUGGUUCUUCGAGGCUCAGGCGAAAUGGGUGGCGCAGGUGCUGUCCGGCAAGAGGACGCUGCCGUCGGAGGAGGAGAUGAUGCGGUCCGUGGAGGAGUAUUACCACGCCAGGGAGAUGGCUGGCGCGCCCAAGAAGUACACCCACGACGUCAGCUUGUUUGACACCACGUAUAUCGAUGAGUUCGGGAGCAAGUACUGCGACUUCCCUGGCGUGGAGAAAUGGCGUUACGAGCUGCUGUUGUCGUCGUUCGUCAACAUGUUGGACAACCUCGAGACCUUUCGCGAUGAGUACAAAGAUAGCGACUCCAUCCGCAACAGUGUGGAGGAGUGGCACUUGUCUGCACAACAGGCCCAAGCUACUGCCGCACCUGCUGCUACGAAAAAACAAUCACAGUGA
RNAcentral lists this ribosomal RNA (1434 nucleotides) under Triticum aestivum (bread wheat). RNAcentral describes it as "partial small subunit ribosomal RNA". Lineage: Eukaryota; Viridiplantae; Streptophyta; Magnoliopsida; Poales; Poaceae. The record is from RNAcentral.